This 253-nucleotide ribosomal RNA is filed under the name uncultured bacterium. Its description in RNAcentral is "partial 16S ribosomal RNA". It matches the Rfam family "Bacterial small subunit ribosomal RNA", at positions 524 to 776 of the family's 1533-position model. The record is from RNAcentral.
UACGAAGGGGGCUAGCGUUGCUCGGAAUUACUGGGCGUAAAGGGCGCGUAGGCGGCCUUGUCAGUCGGGCGUGAAAUCCCCGGGCUCAACCUGGGAAUUGCGUUCGAUACGGCUGGGCUUGAGGCCGAGAGAGGGUGGUGGAAUUCCCAGUGUAGAGGUGAAAUUCGUAGAUAUUGGGAAGAACACCGGUGGCGAAGGCGGCCACCUGGCUCGGUACUGACGCUGAGGCGCGACAGCGUGGGGAGCAAACAGG